Molecule: ribosomal RNA, 924 nt
Filed under: uncultured Pseudomonadota bacterium
Lineage: Bacteria; Pseudomonadati; Pseudomonadota
Description: bacterial SSU rRNA
Rfam family: Bacterial small subunit ribosomal RNA
Source: RNAcentral
UAGAGUUUGAUCCUGGCUCAGAAUGAACGCUGGCGGCGUGCUUAACACAUGCAAGUCGCACGAGAACUCUUUAGCUUGCUAAAGAUAGUAAAGUGGCGCACGGGUGAGUAACGCGUGGGUAAUCUACCUCUGAAUCGGGGAUAACACCGCGAAAGCGAUGCUAAUACCGGAUAAUAUCUUUUAAGCUUCGGCUUACCAGAUCAAAGGUGGCCUCUACAUGAAAGCUACUGUUUGGAGAUGGGCCCGCGUACCAUUAGCUUGUUGGUGGGGUAAUGGCCCACCAAGGCAUCGAUGGUUAGCUGGUCUGAGAGGAUGAUCAGCCACACUGGAACUGACACACGGUCCAGACUCCUACGGGAGGCAGCAGUGAGGAAUUUUGCGCAAUGGGGGAAACCCUGACGCAGCAACGCCGCGUGAGUGAUGAAGGCCCUCGGGUCGUAAAACUCUGUCAAGUGGGAAGAACCUGCUUUAUGUUAAUACCAUAUUGCACUGACGGUACCACUGAAGGAAGCACCGGCUAACUCCGUGCCAGCAGCCGCGGUAAUACGGAGGGUGCAAGCGUUAUUCGGAAUUAUUGGGCGUAAAGAGCGCGUAGGCGGUCUUUUAAGUCAGAUGUGAAAGCCCGAGGCUUAACCUCGGAAGUGCAUUUGAAACUAAGGGACUUGAGUAUGGGAGAGGGAAGUGGAAUUCCUGGUGUAGAGGUGAAAUUCGUAGAUAUCAGGAGGAACACCGGUGGCGAAGGCGACUUCCUGGACCAAUACUGACGCUGAGGCGCGAAGGCGUGGGGAGCAAACAGGAUUAGAUACCCUGGUAGUCCACGCAGUAGACGGUGAACACUAGGUAUAGCGGGUAUUGACCCCUGCUGUGCCGUAGUUAACGCAUUAAGUGUUCCGCCUGGGGAGUACGACCGCAAGGUUAAAACUC